Molecule: ribosomal RNA, 253 nt
Filed under: uncultured bacterium
Lineage: Bacteria
Description: partial 16S ribosomal RNA
Rfam family: Bacterial small subunit ribosomal RNA
Source: RNAcentral
UACGGAGGGUGCAAGCGUUAAUCGGAAUUACUGGGCGUAAAGCGUGCGCAGGCGGUUUGUUAAGUCCGUUGUGAAAGCCCCGAGCUCAACUUGGGAAUUGCAGUGGAUACUGGCAGGCUGGAGUACGGUAGAGGAAGGUGGAAUUCCCGGUGUAGCAGUGAAAUGCGUAGAUAUCGGGAGGAACACCAGUGGCGAAGGCGGCCUUCUGGACCAGUACUGACGCUGAGGCACGAAAGCGUGGGGAGCAAACAGG